Molecule: unclassified non-coding RNA, 206 nt
Filed under: uncultured fungus
Lineage: Eukaryota; Fungi
Description: sequence contains ITS1, 5.8S rRNA gene
Rfam family: 5.8S ribosomal RNA (bases 157-206)
Source: RNAcentral
UUUCCGUAGGUGAACCUGCGGAAGGAUCAUUAGAGAUUGGCCUCACGGCCGUUUUCAUCCACACACACACACCGUGAACCGUUCCCCUGCCUCUCGGGGCUUGGGACCAACCAACCAAACAUUGUCUAAAGAACGUAAACAUCGUAAACAAAACAAAACUUUCAACAACGGAUCUCUUGGCUCUCGCAUCGAUGAAGAACGCCAGC